GGGCAAUGUGUGGUGAGCCCCUCUCUGCAAUGAGGUGGGGGGAGGGAAACAGGGGGCUCCCCCCAGGGAAGAGAUUCACACCUCCAAUCCUGCUCAUUCAAAGUGUCCAUUUGGAAUUUAUUUUUCUGGCCUGUCUGCAUUUCAAGAGGCCACUGGCCAGAGAAGGUCACCGAGCACUGGUAAGAAACCAGUUCACCUCCCGGGGAGGACUCAUUUCAUUUGAGAAAGUUAGUUCUGGUUCAGAUAACAACGGAGGCCCCCAGAUUUCUAAUAAGUGAUGAGACUACCACACUGAUCACCAUUACCUGGAAGUUGAAUUCUUAAUUGGUCGUUUAAAAUAAAGUAAUGUUCGUGUAAGUAGAAAGAUCCAGAAGCGCACUGAGUCUGCAGUUGCCGCAGUCUGGCUGCAGCAAAAUAACUGGGGGGUGACGAACAACUUGUGUACAUUGAUACAGCAGGAGUGGGAGCCAUUUAUUGUAGGACUGGAGGGGUAUAUAUACAGUUCACACAGCUUAUCUUAAUUAACAUAAACUAGAUACAGCAGUCAACCAAUAAGGAAUCUCCACACUUAAUGGCUCGCUGGCGUUACUUCACAAACCACUUCCUCUGGCAAAAUGCCAGGCACCAUCUUGACUUGUUUACAGACCCUAACAUUUCCCCCUUUUGUUUAAUUUAAAUAACGACCAUAGUGGUUUUUACACAAACACCAUAAAUAAUUUGCUACAACAGAAGGGGAGAAUACAAAAUGCCACAAUACCAAGCCAAUUGAUGGCUCCAUGCAAGAAGCCCUUGGAAAAAUUAUACC
Molecule: long non-coding RNA, 805 nt
Filed under: Marmota monax (woodchuck)
Lineage: Eukaryota; Metazoa; Chordata; Mammalia; Rodentia; Sciuridae
Source: RNAcentral